RNAcentral lists this long non-coding RNA (7648 nucleotides) under Nicotiana tabacum (common tobacco). Its description in RNAcentral is "long non-coding RNA (NTAB_LNC009725)". The record is from RNAcentral. Lineage: Eukaryota; Viridiplantae; Streptophyta; Magnoliopsida; Solanales; Solanaceae.
GGAUGUUUAGUUUCUAAUAUAAUAUACUUAUCGUUCAAAAAAACGCUAAUAAUUAGAUGCCCUCCCCUGAACCUAGGACCCCAACAUCGUUACCUCCUAAACAAAAGAGGACUGCCCUCUCUCACCUCUCCAUUUUCAAUAGAAGAAUGGAGAACCCUCCUGAUUUUGGAAACCAGCAUUCCCUCCUCUUCUAAUCUUACUCUUAUCUAAUCAUCAUCUCACUCACACACACCAGAAAAUUAACCCCCCCCCCCCCAAUUUGGUCAUUUCGAUUGAGAACAGAAGAAGAGCAAAAUCAUGAGAAAAUCAGUCUCCUCUAGUCUUCAAUGGUAUUUCAAAUUCGAAAAUUCCUAAAGCAUCUAUAGUUUCUUCUUCUAGAUUUCGAUUUCAAAAACCAUGGAUUGAAGAUGAAACGGGAGUUCGAUUAUUGGAGUUGAUGUUCUAAUUUGUUUCCGGUUGAGUUCCGAUUAUUUGCUAGUUAGUUUGCUGCUGUUGAUUGCUGAAAUUUCUGCGGAGCUUCAGUCGAGUUUUUCUCGAUUUUUAGUCAGUUUAUUUGAGUUUUCUUGUUCAACCAGGUUAGUUUGAAGAUUCUCUAUAUUCUUGCUUGAUAUUACAUGAAUAAUUGAUUGAAACUACUUUUGAACUUGCUAAAUGAAUCCUGUUAAAUUCAAUUACUAUGUUUAUGAGUUAGUAAUAUUAGCCUUCAUGAUCUAUGGUUAAAAGCGGAUUCUGCUUAACACAACAGGAUGUCCGUAGUUGUUGUUAUUGCAUUUUCAUGCAAGAUGGACUCUGAAAAUCUGAUGUAGUAGCUUUCCUCUGUAGAAGAUUUUGAUUAGGCAUGAUAUACUUUAACAAGAUCUAUGACAUUUGAACGUUGGUUACUAUGAACUUCUGUAUUAUAUUUUGGCAGGAAAUUAGUAAUUUUCUCUCAUGAAUCUUACUUAUUUCUAAUAUAUUCCAUUUAUUCAAUGGUAUACUUUUUUCAGACUUAUUCUACUAUAUAUAUAUCCUGAAUAAAUAUGUGACCAUGUACGAAGGCUAUUCUAUUUUUCAAGUCAUGGACAGGUCCCUGUAAAUUCCUUUGCUUUGUGGCAUGUUAAGUUUCCUUCCUAGAAAUGUGGUUGAUGAAUUGAUUCAUUGUGCGAAAUAGAGUCAUUACUGUAUAUUAGCAUUUGAUUCCUUGAAACAAUAGUGAUGGUGAAGUAUGUUAAUUCUUGAAUGGAGUAAUUUCUUAAUGACUUGAUAUGUGAAGAUCGACCCUUUUGUUCUCCAAAGUUGGUUCAUUUUAAUCUCCAGUAGUGACUUGAUAAUACAAAGGUUGGGAGAUCCAAGAACUUAAAUAAAAUAAGUUGAUGAAAUGCGGAAGCAGUAAAGAAAUGCAAGCGGAUUAAGAAAAGCAAGAAAAAUAAACCAGAUAUGUCAAAAUUCAAGGAAAGGUCCAAGAACCUCGAUAUUAUGUUAAUCAAGAUUUUGACAAGAUCCUAAUGACAACAAGUUGGUUAUGAAACCAAUUGGCUUCACUAGAGAUUAGCUAAUCAAAAACUAGAUUCGGAUCUUGACUUCUAGUUUGAAUAACUUACUACAAUAACUAGUAAAAGAAACUAGUCUCCAUCGAAGAAUAUAAAAAAGAAACAAAAGAUAUCACAAGAAAGAAAAUAAUCUUACUACCUUAAGCUAUGAACUAGUUAGGGUUGCAAGAUAAAUCUCAAAGUAAAGUUCACAAAGGUUCAAAAGAACUCACAAUAAUAAUAUUAAUCUUUAAUGUCUUUUUGCAAUGGAAGACACACACCCCUUUAUAUAGUAGUAAAUAAGAAGCUAGUCAAUACUUCAAUAAAUGAGAAUUAUAUUCCCUAGAAGCAUAGAAGACUAUCCAUACUAAUACCAAUGUAGUCAACAUACAUAUAGACCAAUGCAAGUCAACAUAGAUUAAAACAACUAUUAAAUAUAUAUUCUAGAAACUAUUUUUGGGCUUAUUUGGGCUGCUGAAAAUUCCUCUUUUUUGGGAAAUAUUUGGGCUUCAUUCCAUCUCCUCUUGCACUUUAAUUUGGCCUCCAAAUAGUUGUAAGACUUGGCCCAAAGAUCCUAAUUUGGUGGAGCUCUUCUUCUAUUAUAAGACACUUUUAAUUGCUAAUUGAAGCCCAUUAAGCUUGUCUUGAAAUUUCUUUGUUUGAGACCUUGUCAUGGGCCUUCUUAGAGCUUCCAGAGCUUCAUCCUUCUCCUUUAAUGAUAUUGAGCUGCCAUGGAUGCUAUCAUUCCCCUAUUCUUGAAAAUAAUUCGUCCUCGAAUUCGAGCCUGCAUCAAACAAGGAAAGAUCAGAAACAUUGAAGGUAACACUAACUUCAUAUUCACUAAGAAGGUCAAGUUUGUAAGCAUUGUCUCUAAUCCUUUUAAUGACUUCAAAUGGCCCAUCUCCUCUUGUAUCUAAUUUGGAUCUUCGUUUGGCAGGAAAUCUUUCCUUCCUAAAAUGCACUCAUACUAAAUCUCCAGGCUUAAAAAUAACAGAUUUUCGCCCCUUAUUUCUUCUUAAGGCAUUUUGUUCAUUCUUUGUUUCAAUUGUAAGCCUUGUAUGUUCAUGAAUCUUCUUCAUAAUUUUAGCCUUAUUUCUACCAUCAAUAUUAACAAUGUCAUUAGUAGGAAAAUGCAAUAAAUCAAGGGGAGUGAGGGGAUUAAAUCCAUAAACAACUUCGAAAGGAGACUUAACAGAAGAAGAGUGGAUAUUUCUAUCAUAGGCAAACUCUACCAUGGGCAAAUGUUCUUCCCAAGAAGUUAAUUUUCCUUUUAAAACAGCCCUGCACAUAUUCUCUAAUGUCCUAUUAACUACUUCAGUUUGCCCAUCAGUUUGUGUGUGACAUGAAGAAAAAAAUAACAAUUUAGUUCCCAACUUCGCACAAAGAACUCUCCAAAAAAGACUUAAAAAUUUAGCAUCCUAUCACUAAUGAUAGUUUUAGGUAUGCCAUGUAAUUUAACCACUUCCUUCACAAAUAAAUCAGCCACAUGUAAUGCAUCAUUAGUCUUCAAGAAUGGAAUAAAACGAGCCAUUUUUGAAAAUCUAUCUACCACUACAAAUAUACUAUCCUUACCAUAUUUAGUUCUAGGAAGUCCUAACACAAAAUUCAUAGAAGUAUCAAUCUAAGGACAAGUAGGGACAUGUAAAGGAGUAUAAAAAACAUGUGGUAACACUUUUGUUUUGACUUGUUUACAUUCAAGACAUUGUGAGCACACUUUUUCAACAUCCUUUCGCAUGCCGGGCCAAAAAAAAAUGUCAAAAAGUAUAUCCAAAGUUUUGGGCACUCCAAAGUAUCCCAUGAGUCCACCACAAUGUGCUUCCCUAAAAAACAAUUCACGCAAAGAGCAAUUAGGAAUACACAAUUUAUUUCCUUAAAAAGGAACCCAUCUUGAAGAUUGAACCUCUCAUAAAAGCCCAACUUACAUUCUACAAAAGCCUUUGGUUAUAUGCGCAUAUAGUGUUGUUCUAUUGGGUUCUUAUAGCGAAAUUUGAGCGAGAAGAGUAUUGAGUAUUGCUUGGUGGAUGGCGCAUUGGUUAUGUUCUUUCGGGUUUUGUGUGGUGUUGUGUCAUUUGCUUCUCCAUGGUUAUGGUAAUGCACUUUGAGUAAUUGAUGUCGAAUUGCGCGUGGCUAUUAAUUUUGAGCAUGGUGGCUUGAAGUAUUUCAUGUGGACCAGUGUUUGGAUGGGAUCACGCAUUGUAGCGAAGUUAUGUAGAUGUAUGAUCCUUGGUGUAGGAUUCAUGUGUUUUGGUUCUACGAUGUGUGCUAGGCUCUUAGCGUUGUGUUGUGAUGGUACUUGUUAAGCAGGCGGGACAGUCCUCCCGUGUGAAUCUUUUCUAUGAUUUGAGUACGUUUGGGAUGUUGCUAUUGGGCGCACGAAUUGGACAAGUUAUGGCUUUGGAUUGUAUUGAUGUGUCAUGUCAUCAGAGUGGUCGUGUUGGAUGAGAAGAGGUCAUUGGACCUAGAAUGAAUACUAUAAGAAUUGACUACAACAUGGUUGGAAGGAUAAUAUCAGAAUUCAGCUUAGAAAUCUUCUAUAGUUCCUGUUGAAGAAAGAGGAGCUCCAUGACUGGUUGAUCAGAUGGAUGGUUACGAGUUUCUGCGUGUUUCAUUCAUCAUUGGUAGUAUAUGAAAGUGUUAGAAUGAGGCUUUGCUUGGUAAGAGGUUAUUUACCGGUAUUGGGUUGCUUUAAGAAGCUAUUGUGAUUAGGAGUUAUCGAUAUGAGUGUUUGAGUCAUGUGGUAUAUCAUGUGAUUACAUCUUGGGUUACGGAUAUGGUUUGAUACAGCUUGUUCGGACUUAUACAAUGUGUAUAUGCGAGAUUCUGAUUUUAUGGAAAUUUCGGAUAUGAAAUUUUUUGGUUCUAAGGCUUAUGGGCUAGGUUGAAUUAUGAAAUUUCAGUUAUAUUGUAUUAUCAAACCUAUAUGGGGUAGGGUGACUUGGGAUCACCGCUGGGUAUGUGCAUGAUAAGGUUACACAGCGAUUUGAUAGCCUUUGGAACAACUCUGGGCACGUUAGAAGAGGAAUGUAUGUUUAAGUGGGGGAGGAUGUAACGACCCGACCGAUCGUUUUGAGCAAUUGCACUUCGCUCGGUUGUUUGAGGGAAUGAGUAGCUCUGUAUGAUGUAUUAUGACUUAUGUGAAACAUCAGUAUUAGUUUUCAGGUUAUUUAGAAUUAAUUUGGAAGAAUGAUUCUCAACUAGUAGCUUUAAAUUUGAAAGGUUUGAGUAAGUUUGACUUUAUAGUAUUUGACCUCAGAUUGGAUUUCUGAUGGUUCCGUUAGCUCCAUUGGGUAAUUUUGGACUUAGGAGCGCGCCUGGAUUGUGAUUUGGAGGUCCGUAGUAAAAUUUGGCUUAAAAUGGCAAAAAUGAGAAUUUUAGAAAGUUUGACCGGGAGUGAACUUUCUGAUAUUGGGGUCAGAUUUCGAUUCUGGAAGUUGAAGCAAGUCCGUAAUGUCAAAUGUGACUUGUGUGCAAAAUUUAAAGUCAAUUGGAUGUGAUUUGAUAGGUUUGGGCAUCAUUUGUGGAUGUUUAAGGUAUGAUUCGUGUUUUUAGCGUUGUUUGAUGUGAUUUGAGGCCUCCACUAAGUCUGUGAUAUGUUUUGAGACUUGUUGGUAUGUUCGGACAGGGUCCCGAGUGGCUCGGGUGAGUUUCGGGAUGGUUUCAGGCCAUUUAUAAAACAUUUCUUUUUGGCUUCAGGGGUGUAUAGUGCGUUUGUAUAGAUCUGGCCAUCUUAGCAUAGAGCAAAUUUCAAAAAAUGGAGUUGUGCUAUGCGAUUGCAUAAGAGUUCCCACGGUCGCGUAGUGUAAAUCUCUACUGCACUGACCCGUCUUUGGAAGCUUAUACCUCACAAUCUAUAAGGAAUUUGAAGAUGAUCCAAACAUGUAAGUUGUAGCCCUUGAUGACUUGUUUUCAAAACGGUAAACUAAUUGUAAUUUGGAGUUUUGUACAAAACGUUAUGACCAUUAUACUAGAGCAUAUCCGGAAGAGUUGGAGAAGGCUGUUGGAAACUUUUGUUCUACGCCAUCGCGGGGAAUGACGACAAUCCCAUAGGGUAAAAUAAGGGUUGGAAAAUUUUGUGCUUCGCCAUCACAUUAGUCUAUCUGUGAUAGCAUAGGGUAAAUGCCUUGGCAGAUUAUAAAGUACUCUAUUUCGAGGUUUCGACUAUUUUUGCAUUUUUCGAGCUAUGGAGCUCGGAUUGAGGUGAUUUCUGAAGGGACUUUCAGAGAAGUGGUUGGGGUAAAUUUUCUUCACUUGUUUUUUGUUAAAUUCCAUGAUUGUAUCUUAAUUUUUAUCAUCUAAAUUGGGAAUUUGGGAUGAAAAUUAUGGGAAAAAUGGAAGAGAAUUGGAGAGGUGAUUUUGGUAAUUUGAAUGGCCAUUUAAUGACGUAUUUUGAUGAAUUUGGUAUGGGCAGACUCGUGAGUAAAUGAACUUUCUAGUUUAUGACUUUUGCCGGAUUCCUAGACGUGGGCCUUAGGAUCAGGUAUGAGUGAAUUUUUGGAUUUGUGCCUAAUUUGACAGUUUUCUUACGGAAUUCAUUCCAUUAGCACAUAUUGAUGGUAUUGUUCUGGUUGUGAGUCGAUUCAGAGUGAUUGGAGGCUGAGUCAAGGGACAAGAGCAUCACGGAGUAGAGAUUUGACCGGUUUGCAGUAAGUAACGAUUGUAAAUCUAGUCUUGAGUGUAUGAAACCCCGGAUUUUAUGUCGUUUUACAAUUUUGAGGUGACGCUUAUGCUAGGUGACAGGCGUGUGGGCGUGCACCGUUGGGGAUUGUGACUUGGUCCGUCCCGUAGUAACUAUAAAGUUGGGUAUUUUGUUGAAACUAUAUGAUAUUUAUGUGUUUUAGAAAGAGUUUCUAUAAAUUAGGCUGAAUGCCAUGUUUAGGCAUUGUGCCAGAGCUGUUUGGACACUGAGGGGCCUUUUUAUUACUAUCCUCUCACUAUUUUUGACUAAAAAUCUAUACUCAGUCAUGUUAUACUCAUUGAUUUCAUAACUCAGUCUUUAUUACUCUGUUUUGAUGCAUAUAAUUAUUGUUUUGCGGCUGAGUACCCUAUUUUUACUGAGAGACUGAGUGGCUUGAGAGAUUUUUACCCUAUGAAUGACUGAUUGAGGUCGAGGGCCUAAUUUAUGAGGAUAUUUAUGGGAUCGGGCUGCACGCCGCAACAUGUUGUUACUGAUUCAUGAUUUAGCGAGGCCGAGGGCCUGAUUGAUUUAUGCCACGAGGUGGCUUGUUAUAGCGCUUGAGCUGAAAGAGCCCCUCCGGAGUCUGCACACCCCCAGUGAGCGCAAGUACCUACUGAGUGAUAUCUUGCCCGAGGAGCUAUAUAUGAGUGAUGGUGAGGUAUGCUCGAUGGGCUUUAUACGAGUGAUUGUGAGGUUUGCCCAAUGGGCUAUAUAUGAGUGAUAUUUUGCCUGAGGGGCUGUAGAAGAGUGUUGUUUUACCCGAGGGGCUUUUUAUGAUUUCAUCAUUUUUUCUCACUGUUGCAUUGAGCCUCUGUUUGAGAUCCGUCGAAAAAUAUCUUGAAAUGAUUUUACUGGAACUGAGUUUAAACGAAAUGAUUUGAUUCAAACUCUUCUUUUAAAAUCAUGUUGUAUUUUUACUGAGAUUUUAUGACAUGAACUUUAUAUGCUUUAUUGCUCGUCAUUACUUCUCAGCCUUUAUUUACUUUGGUUACUAACUGAGUUGACAUACUCACGUUACUCCCUGUACCUUGUGUGCAGAUCCAGGCGUUUAUAGACGCGGUAGCGAGUGUUGAUUGUUCAGUUGCGGAUCCAUCAGAGUUAGCAAGGUAGCUUCCUGGCGAUCGCAACCCUGCUUUCCUCCCUCUUUAUCUUUCCUUAGUUGUAUUCAGUUAUUUCUGGACUAUGUUAGUCUUGAUAUUGUCAGACGACUGUGGUAGAUGCUCAUGACUAGUGACACCUCGAUGGUGGUAUUUUCUUUCCGCACUUUCGUUAUUCAAAUUUUCUUUAUGAAGUUUAAUUAUUAAAUAGCGUGAUUUUAUCUUUGAAAUUGAAAUAUCACAUUGUUUGUUGUAGAGAGUCAGUUUGCCUAGUAUCACGUUAGGCGCCAUCACGACAUGGUAGUUUGGGUCGUGACAGGUGUCAAAGCCCCUCCACUUAUGUGUUCAAAAUAAGAACUAUACAAUGC